GGGCAAAACCGCAUGAAAAAUGUAAAGCGUUAUGUGGAUCGAACAUUAGUAGAGAAGCGUGUGAGCCAGCUGCCAAGAAAAGCCGCUAUUGCUUCAUAAGUACCCGUACCGUAAACCGACACAGGUGGAUGAGGAGAGAAUCCUAAGGCCGGCGGGAGGAGUGUUGUUAAGGAACUCGGCAAAAUGACUCCGUAACUUCGGGAGAAGGAGUGCCACAGAGAUGUGGCCGCAGAGAAAUGGCCCAAGCAACUGUUUAGCAAAAACACAGGUCUAUGCAAAACCGAAAGGUGAGGUAUAUGGGCUGACGCCUGCCCGGUGCUGGAAGGUUAAGAGGAGAGGUUAGAGCAAUCGAAGCUUUGAAUUUAAGCCCCAGUAAACGGCGGCCGUAACAAUAACGGUCCUAAGGUAGCGAAAUUCCUUGUCGGGUAAGUUCCGACCCGCACGAAAGGCGUAAUGAUUUGGGCACUGUCUCAACAACACACCCGGUGAAAUUGAAAUACCAGUGAAGAUGCUGGUUACCUGCGCCAGGACGGAAAGACCCCAUGGAGCUUUACUCCAGUUUGAUACUGGGAUUCGGUACUGUCUGUACAGGAUAGGUGGGAGGCUAGGAAAUGGUGACGCCAGUUGCCAUGGAGCCAACCUUGGGAUACCACCCUUACAGUACUGGGUUUCUAACCUGCAGCCGUGACCCGGCUGGGGGACAAUGUCUGACGGGGAGUUUGACUGGGGCGGUCGCCUCCGAAAGAGUAUCGGAGGCGCUCAAAGGUUCCCUCAGAGCGGUUGGAAACCGUUCGAAGAGUGCAAAGGCAGAAGGGAGCUUGACUGCGACACCGACGGGUGGAGCAGAUACGAAAGUAGGACUUAGUGAUCCGGUGGUAUAAAGUGGGAUUGCCAUCGCUCAACGGAUAAAAGCUACCCUGGAUAACAGGCUUAUCACUCCCAAGAGUUCACAUCGACGGAGUGGUUUGGCACCUCGAUGUCGGCUCAUCACAUCCUGGAGCUGUAGCAGGUUCCAAGGGUUGGGCUGUUCGCCCAUUAAAGCGGUACGCGAGCUGGGUUCAGAACGUCGUGAGACAGUUCGGUCCCUAUCCGGCGUGGGCGUAGGAUAUUUGAGAGGAGCUGUCCUUAGUACGAGAGGACCGGGAUGGACAAACCUCUGGUGUAUCUGUUGUUUUACCAAAGGCAUGGCAGAGUAGCCAAGUUUGGCAGGGAUAAACGCUGAAGGCAUCUAAGCGUGAAGCCCCCCUCAAGAUAAGAUAUCCCAUCUUCGGAGUAAGACCCCUUGAAGACUACAAGGUUGAUAGGCUUCAGGUGUAAGUGUGGUAACGCACUCAGCUGAGAAGUACUAAUAGGUCGAGGACUUAUC
This 1366-nucleotide ribosomal RNA is filed under the name metagenome. RNAcentral's name for it is "bacterial LSU rRNA". It matches the Rfam family "Bacterial large subunit ribosomal RNA", at positions 1534 to 2925 of the family's 2925-position model. The record is from RNAcentral.